This 495-nucleotide ribosomal RNA is filed under the name uncultured soil bacterium. Its description in RNAcentral is "bacterial SSU rRNA". It matches the Rfam family "Bacterial small subunit ribosomal RNA", at positions 26 to 530 of the family's 1533-position model. The record is from RNAcentral.
AGAUUGAACGCUGGCGGCAUGCCUAACACAUGCAAGUCGAACGGGAGUAGCAAUACUCUAGUGGCGGACGGGUGAGGAAUACGUAGGAAUUUGCCCUUAAGUGGGGGAUAACCCGGGGAAACCCGGAUUAAUACCGCAUGACCUCGAAAGAGCAAAGUGGGGAUCGCAAGACCUCACGCUUUUGGAGAAGCCUACGUCGGAUUAGCUAGUUGGUGAGGUAAUGGCUCACCAAGGCGACGAUCCGUAACUGGUCUGAGAGGAUGAUCAGUCACACCGGAACUGAGACACGGUCCGGACUCCUACGGGAGGCAGCAGUGGGAAUAUUGGACAAUGGGCGCAAGCCUGAUCCAGCAAUGCCGCGUGUGUGAAGAAGGCCUUCGGUCGUAAAGCACUUUAAGUUGGGAAAGAAAAACUCGACUACUAACAACAGUGUAGUACUUGACGGUACCGAACAAGAAUAAGACAACCGUACAACUCUAGUGACCAGCACGACCC